RNAcentral lists this transfer RNA (72 nucleotides) under Hirsutella thompsonii. RNAcentral's name for it is "tRNA-Ala". It matches the Rfam family "tRNA". From Rfam's summary of the family: Transfer RNA (tRNA) molecules are approximately 80 nucleotides in length. The record is from RNAcentral. Lineage: Eukaryota; Fungi; Ascomycota; Sordariomycetes; Hypocreales; Ophiocordycipitaceae.
GGGGAUAUAGUUUAAUAGGUAAAACGGUGUUUUUGCAUGUCACUAAUUCAGGUCCGAAUCCUGAUAUCUCCA